ACAUACAAAAUGAUAUGCUUUAGGACAUACUACUAACAAUUUCCCACUAGCACUAGAGUCAUUUAUUACAAUAUCUUAGACCUAUCUUCUCAAGAUGUCGGUCUAACUGAGUUUAUGACAUAGGCUUUGUGAAUGGAUCAGCUGGAUUUUCAGCUGAUGCUAUUUUUUGCAUGGCUACAUCGUCUCGCCCAACUAUUUUUCUGAUAAUAUGGUAGCGCCUUUCUAUGUGUUUGGAUUUCUGGUGAGACCUUGGUUCCUUAGCCUGUAUGACUGCUCCAUUAUUGUCACAGUGUAGUGGAACUGCUGACUCAAUGGAAGGAACUACUGUAAGUUCUGUCACGAACUUCUUUAUCCAAACAGCUUCCUUUGCAGCAUCUGAUGCAGCAAUAUACUCAGCCUCAGUAGUGGAAUCUGCAGUCGUGCUCUGUUUGGAACUCUUCCAACUGACUGCACCUCCAUUACAAAUGAACACAUAUCCAGAGGUAGACUUUCUAUCAUCGAUAUCUGAUUGGAAAUCAGAAUCAGUAUAACCAUCCAAUUGCAAGUCUCCACCUCCAUAAAUCAAGAAUAAAUCCUUAGUUCUUCUCAAGUACUUAAGGAUAUUCUUGACAGCUAUCCAGUGUUCCAAACCUGGAUUGGAUUGAUACCUGCUAGUCAAACUAACAGCAUAUGCGAUAUCCGGCCUAGUACACAACAUUGCAUACAUUAAACUUCCAAUAGCCGAAGCAUAUGGAAUCCUGGCCAUUUUAUCUUUUCCUUCAGGUGUCUUUGGAGACAUUUCUUUAGAAAGGUGGAUACCAUGUCUCACUGGUAACAAUCCUCUCUUGGAAUCAAGCAUGUUAAACCUC
RNAcentral lists this unclassified non-coding RNA (848 nucleotides) under Hevea brasiliensis (rubber tree). Lineage: Eukaryota; Viridiplantae; Streptophyta; Magnoliopsida; Malpighiales; Euphorbiaceae. The record is from RNAcentral.